This 286-nucleotide ribosomal RNA is filed under the name uncultured Rickettsia sp. RNAcentral's name for it is "partial 16S ribosomal RNA". It matches the Rfam family "Bacterial small subunit ribosomal RNA", at positions 31 to 331 of the family's 1533-position model. Lineage: Bacteria; Pseudomonadati; Pseudomonadota; Alphaproteobacteria; Rickettsiales; Rickettsiaceae. The record is from RNAcentral.
GAACGCUAUCGGUAUGCUUAACACAUGCAAGUUGAACGGAUUAUUUAGGGCUUGCUCUAAAUAAUUAGUAGCAAACGGGUGAGUAACACGUGGGAAUCUACCCAUCAGUACGGAAUAACAUUUAGAAAUAAAUGCUAAUACCGUAUAUUCUCUUAGGAGGAAAGAUUUAUCGCUGAUGGAUGAGCCCGCGUCAGAUUAGGUAGUUGGUAGGGUAAUGGCCUACCAAGCCAACGAUCUGUAGCUGGUCUGAGAGGAUGAUCAGCCACACUGGGACUGAGACACGGCC